This 332-nucleotide ribosomal RNA is filed under the name Salmonella enterica subsp. enterica serovar Weltevreden. Its description in RNAcentral is "partial 23S ribosomal RNA". It matches the Rfam family "Bacterial large subunit ribosomal RNA", at positions 468 to 687 of the family's 2925-position model. The record is from RNAcentral. Lineage: Bacteria; Pseudomonadati; Pseudomonadota; Gammaproteobacteria; Enterobacterales; Enterobacteriaceae.
AAAUACUCCUGACUGACCGAUAGUGAACCAGUACCGUGAGGGAAAGGCGAAAAGAACCCCGGCGAGGGGAGUGAAAAAGAACCUGAAACCGUGUACGUACAAGCAGUGGGAGCCCCACCACCAAAGCGUUUCGCUUUGUGUGGUGCACAAAGAAGCGUAACGACAGCACUGAAUGACGGUUAACGGAGCGCAAGCGACGUUCAACAUACAAAGUCAAGCAGUGGAGCGCUUUGGGGUGGGGUGACUGCGUACCUUUUGUAUAAUGGGUCAGCGACUUAUAUUCUGUAGCAAGGUUAACCGAAUAGGGGAGCCGGAGGGAAACCGAGUCUUAA